Molecule: long non-coding RNA, 808 nt
Filed under: Homo sapiens (human)
Lineage: Eukaryota; Metazoa; Chordata; Mammalia; Primates; Hominidae
Description: HSALNT0325898
Source: RNAcentral
CGAACUCCUGGCCUCAAGCAAUCCACCCACCUCGGCCUCCCAAAGUGCUGGGAUUAUAGGCGUGAGUCGCCGCACCCCCAGCGAUACUGACUUUAAGUGACUAAAUCAUAGUUUAUGGUGUUUGUUGACUACCCAGCAUCUUUCUCACCCUUUUCUUUCUUCCAAACAGAAUCUCAGUUUUGUUCAAGUAUUUGCCUUCUGCAAACACACACACACACACACACACACACACACACAAUUUAAGAAAAGCUGGUCCCAAGAAUGGGUCUUUAUUCUAAAAAGCUAAAUAGCACCUAGAAUUUCCAGCACUUAAUAUUGUAUUGAGUGGUCAUAUGACCUAAGUUGGCACAAUGAGCUGAAGGACAUUACCCUUAAUCCUUAAUUGUGAGAAAGAUUUUUUUUUCUCUUUUCUACUAGACAAAAAUAUGGAAGGGUGUAGCUCCAAUUGCCACCAGCAACCAUCUUCGACUCUGAGGCAAAUCACCAGAACUGAGCACAGGGGCCCUCGGUAAACAUUACAGAAUGAAUAAAGUAAUUAAUGAUGAAUCUGAACCUUUCAAACACCCUUGCGAGGUUUCCCUUGGGACCAACAGUAAUAGCAUUUGCUAUGAAUGCAAAAGUUAUGGCUGAGCAGGCACUUUUUGUAUCUGGAGGUUUGGGACCACCUCCUCUUGGGUACAUUAACUCGUAAGUGACUCCACUUCAUUCUGUUGUCUUAAUUAGGACCUGCCUGACAAUCAUUAAAAAAUCAGGAAACAACAGGUGCUGGAGAGGAUGUGGAGAAAUAGGAACACUUUUACACUGUUGG